GAGUUUGAUCCUGGCUCAGAACGAACGCUGGCGGCAGGCUUAACACAUGCAAGUCGAACGCCCCGCAAGGGGAGUGGCGCACGGGUGAGUAACACGUGGAUAUCUGCCUUUUGGUUCGGAAUAACCCUGGGAAACUAGGGCUAAUACCGGAUGGUUCCUACGGGAUAAAGAUUUAUCGCCAAAAGAUGAGUCCGCGUACGAUUAGCUAGUUGGUGAGGUAAUGGCUCACCAAGGCGACGAUCGUUAGCUGGUCUGAGAGGACGAUCAGCCACACUGGGACUGAGACACGGCCCAGACUCCUACGGGAGGCAGCAGUGGGGAAUAUUGGACAAUGGGGGCAACCCUGAUCCAGCCAUGCCGCGUGAGUGAUGAAGGCCUUC
This 380-nucleotide ribosomal RNA is filed under the name uncultured Alphaproteobacteria bacterium. RNAcentral's name for it is "bacterial SSU rRNA". It matches the Rfam family "Bacterial small subunit ribosomal RNA", at positions 9 to 419 of the family's 1533-position model. Lineage: Bacteria; Pseudomonadati; Pseudomonadota; Alphaproteobacteria. The record is from RNAcentral.